This 405-nucleotide ribosomal RNA is filed under the name uncultured bacterium. Its description in RNAcentral is "partial 16S ribosomal RNA". It matches the Rfam family "Bacterial small subunit ribosomal RNA", at positions 30 to 526 of the family's 1533-position model. The record is from RNAcentral.
AUUGAACGCUGGCGGCAGGCUUAACACAUGCAAGUCGAACGAGUGGCGGACGGGUGAGUAAUGCUUGGGAAUCUAGCUUAUGGAGGGGGAUAACUACGGGAAACUGUAGCUAAUACCGCGUACCAUAGGAUGAGCCCAAGUGGGAUUAGGUAGUUGGUGAGGUAAAGGCUCACCAAGCCGACGAUCUCUAGCUGGUCUGAGAGGAUGACCAGCCACACUGGGACUGAGACACGGCCCAGACUCCUACGGGAGGCAGCAGUGGGGAAUUUUGGGCAAUGGGGGCAACCUGAUCCAGCCAUCCCGCGUGAAUGAAGAAGGCCUUCGGGGUGUAAAGUACUUUCGGCAGGGAAGCGUUACCUGCAGAAUAAGCACCGGCUAACUACGUGCCAGCAGCCGCGGUAAUUC